This 2053-nucleotide long non-coding RNA is filed under the name Anolis carolinensis (green anole). RNAcentral's name for it is "lncRNA (ENSACAG00000038856.1)". Lineage: Eukaryota; Metazoa; Chordata; Lepidosauria; Squamata; Anolidae. The record is from RNAcentral.
AGGAAGAUGGAAGAGGCCUCUAAUUGAAAUGCAUGGACUCCAUGCCAUGGGGUGCUGGAAUUUGUAGUUUGCAUCCAGUCCAACCCCUUUCUUUCUUUUUGUCAUGGAGGAAGAACCCACCCAAACCUCUCAGACAGAUGGCCAUCCGGUUUAGUUGUGUUGUUAGUCACGAUGCGUUGUUGUGAGUUUUGUGGGUCCGGAUUGUGGUUUUGUGGUGUGGUUGUGUUGUUACAACCGGGAGGGAAGGCUUUUGCCUUGUGUUGCCAAGUUUCGUAUUUCUGGGGCGUUUAGUUGUGUUGUUAUAGUCACGAUGCGUUGUUGUGAGUUUUGUGGGUCCGGUGUGGUUUUGUGGUGUGGUUGUGUUGUUACAACCGGGAGGCAAGGCUUUUGCGUUGUGUUGCCAAGUUUUGUAUUUCUUAGGUGUUUAGUUGUGUUGUUAUAGUCACUGUGCAAACAACUUUAUCCUUUUAUAUAUAUAGAUAGAUGUUCAUACAUUGUUAAAUUGCAUCCCUGCAAUGAGAGGUUUAACAGAGGAAUAGUAUAGUUGGGUUCUAUGCAUCUUUACAGUGGCAAAGACAUUGAUCCUUCAAAGCUCGGAUGGCAAACUCAUAAUCUGUCAUUCAUGUCCUAAAGUUUUUCUCUCCCCAUUUGAACUUAUAUCAAGUAACCAUCAUUUCCAUUUGGACACCUUUUCCAACACAUAGUCUAUUGCAACUAAGCUAUAUGCCUAAUACAUCAUUGUUUAGUUCAUAUUAGUAAAGUUGCUUCACCUUGUUUUGUUUGUGUGUUUGCAAAAGAAAAUCCUUUACAAUGAUUGUUAUUUCUGGUUUUGUUGUAAGCUGAUCUUUCAAGGACUCAUUGGAAGCUCUUGUGGAUUUUACUCUGUCUGAGGCCCCCAUCUAUACUUCACCUAAAAUGUAGUGUAAGGCGUGCAUUAUCAUGAAGGCCAUUCCCUUGCCCAGAAAAUUGUUUUGCCCUUGAGUUGGCACAAGUUGGAAAUGACUUGAAGGCACACAAGACAACAAAGUAACCAGAUCAGAAAGGAAAGACACUGCAGCUUCAGGUUUAUUGAAAGACUGCUCCUCUUUGGAGGUGUUCAGCAUCUUGGAAGGUCACCCCAUCUGGCUUGGCUGGAACUGUUGUUCAUUCACUUGACAGAAAUCAUUGCAUUGGUGACAUCUGACAUUUCCAAAGCUGCUUCAUGUUAGACAGGAACACCAGCAGAGGCUAUUUUACCUUCCUGUAGUAGUACACGGUAUGAGCUAUGGAUGCUAUGGGAACAAAAUGACGACAUUUAGUUUGUUCCAUUCAAAUUUGUGUUCUUCUAAUCACAAAGGCCAAUUGUCAGUUACAACUAGAGUAGAUCUAUUGAAUCAAAGGAACUUAUAUCACUGAUAUCUUAGCAAAUUCCCCUUGAUUCAAUGGGUCUACUCUGGAUGGAACUAACAGUUGGCUUUAGGCCAAAGUAUAACACGUAAGUAAUUAUUUGUUCCAAAUCCAUGAGGACUGCUCCUUACUUUUCCUGCUUCUCCCUCGUUUUCCUCUCUUCUGAGAUCCAGAAGGCCUUCUCUUUUUAUGCCUUCUAGUACUUUCAUUCUUGCACUUACAUCGUGACAUUUUUUCUGGUGGCUUUGGUGAUGGUAAAAGCCUAACAGAGGACUAAGAGGAGCAUGUCUUUUGGUGAAGCCACUGCAAUGAUGUCUUCUACGAUGGUACUGGAGUUUAUGAAAUGAAGCUACUUGCUGCACUUCUACUUAAGGAGUUGGGCAAUUAUGACCUCACACAGUUGAUAUGGCAACCUUUGUAACUUAAAAAAAAUCAGCAUGUAGGGGGCAUCAUAAUGUAGUCUGAUAAUGAAAUUACCAUGCCUUAAUGAAGUAUCAGACACAAUGAGCCACAAUUAGACAUUGACAUUGAAGGGAAAGGGAAAAUGGAAUGUAUUAGAAAGUAAAAGGAAUAAGCAUCAAGCAGAAUUGUUUUAUGAUGGCAUGUGCCAUAGUUGCAAGGAGAGAAACACGUUAUUUAUAAUGAUAUUUUGAUACGAGUAUCAUAC